RNAcentral lists this ribosomal RNA (605 nucleotides) under Debaryomyces fabryi. RNAcentral describes it as "LSU rRNA". It matches the Rfam family "Eukaryotic large subunit ribosomal RNA", at positions 33 to 654 of the family's 3401-position model. Lineage: Eukaryota; Fungi; Ascomycota; Pichiomycetes; Serinales; Debaryomycetaceae. The record is from RNAcentral.
AUUAAGCAUAUCAAUAAGCGGAGGAAAAGAAACCAACAGGGAUUGCCUUAGUAACGGCGAGUGAAGCGGCAAAAGCUCAAAUUUGAAAUCUGGCACCUUCGGUGUCCGAGUUGUAAUUUGAAGAAGGUAACUUUGGAGUUGGCUCUUGUCUAUGUUCCUUGGAACAGGACGUCACAGAGGGUGAGAAUCCCGUGCGAUGAGAUGCCCAAUUCUAUGUAAAGUGCUUUCGAAGAGUCGAGUUGUUUGGGAAUGCAGCUCUAAGUGGGUGGUAAAUUCCAUCUAAAGCUAAAUAUUGGCGAGAGACCGAUAGCGAACAAGUACAGUGAUGGAAAGAUGAAAAGAACUUUGAAAAGAGAGUGAAAAAGUACGUGAAAUUGUUGAAAGGGAAGGGCUUGAGAUCAGACUUGGUAUUUUGCGAUCCUUUCCUUCUUGGUUGGGUUCCUCGCAGCUUACUGGGCCAGCAUCGGUUUGGAUGGUAGGAUAAUGACUAAGGAAUGUGGCUCUACUUCGGUGGAGUGUUAUAGCCUUGGUUGAUACUGCCUGUCUAGACCGAGGACUGCGUCUUUGACUAGGAUGCUGGCAUAAUGAUCUUAAGCCACCCGUCU